UCGAGAAUUUUUGGCAAUGGGGGAAACCCUGACCAAGCGAUGCCGCGUGCGGGAUGAAGGCCUUCGGGUUGUAAACCGCUGUCAGUGGGGAGAAAAGGAUGGUGAGUUCUCUCAUCAUUUUGAUCUAUCCGCAGAGGAAGUGUGGGCUAAGCUCGUGCCAGCAGCCGCGGUAAGACGAGCCACACGAACGUUAUUCGGAAUUACUGGGCUUAAAGGGUGCGUAGGCGGUGCGGAAAGUUGGGUGUGAAAUCCCUCGGCUCAACCGAGGAACUGCGCCCAAAACUACCGUACUCGAGGAAGAUAGAGGUGAGCGGAACUUACGGUGGAGCGGUGAAAUGCGUUGAUAUCGUAAGGAACACCCGUGGCGAAAGCGGCUCACUGGGUCUUCUCUGACGCUGAUGCACGAAAGCUAGGGGAGCAAACGG
RNAcentral lists this ribosomal RNA (425 nucleotides) under uncultured bacterium. RNAcentral describes it as "bacterial SSU rRNA". It matches the Rfam family "Bacterial small subunit ribosomal RNA", at positions 355 to 775 of the family's 1533-position model. The record is from RNAcentral.